UACGGAGGGUGCGAGCGUUAAUCGGCAUUACUGGGCGUAAAGGGCGCGUGGGCGGGGGGUUACGUCUGCCGUGAAAUCCCCGGGCUCAACCUGGGAAUGGCGGUGGAAACGGGCUGACUGGAGUAUGGGAGAGGGUGAUGGAAUUCCAGGUGUAGCGGUGAAAUGCGUAGAGAUCUGGAGGAACACCAGUGGCGAAGGCGGUCACCUGGCCCAAUACUGACGCUGAGGCGCGAAAGCGUGGGGAGCAAACAGG
This 253-nucleotide ribosomal RNA is filed under the name uncultured bacterium. RNAcentral describes it as "partial 16S ribosomal RNA". It matches the Rfam family "Bacterial small subunit ribosomal RNA", at positions 524 to 776 of the family's 1533-position model. The record is from RNAcentral.